UACGUAUGGUGCAAGCGUUAUCCGGAUUUACUGGGUGUAAAGGGAGCGCAGGCGGCACGGCAAGCCGGAUGUGAAAGCCCGCGGCCCAACCGCGGGACUGCAUUGGGAACUACCGGGCUGGAGUGCCGGAGAGGUAGGCGGAAUUCCUAGUGUAGCGGUGAAAUGCGUAGAUAUUAGGAGGAACACCAGUGGCGAAGGCGGCCUACUGGACGGUGACUGACGCUGAGGCUCGAAAGCGUGGGGAGCAAACAGG
RNAcentral lists this ribosomal RNA (253 nucleotides) under uncultured bacterium. Its description in RNAcentral is "partial 16S ribosomal RNA". It matches the Rfam family "Bacterial small subunit ribosomal RNA", at positions 524 to 776 of the family's 1533-position model. The record is from RNAcentral.